UGGGGGAUAGUUUAACGGUAGAACCUUCGGCUCUGACCCGAAUAGUCCUGGUUCGAAUCCAGGUCCCCCAG
RNAcentral lists this transfer RNA (71 nucleotides) under Rhodospirillales bacterium. RNAcentral's name for it is "tRNA-Gln". It matches the Rfam family "tRNA". From Rfam's summary of the family: Transfer RNA (tRNA) molecules are approximately 80 nucleotides in length. Their secondary structure includes four short double-helical elements and three loops (D, anti-codon, and T loops). The record is from RNAcentral. Lineage: Bacteria; Pseudomonadati; Pseudomonadota; Alphaproteobacteria; Rhodospirillales.